UUCCUGGUGGUCUAGUGGUUAGGACUUAGCGCUUUCACAGCUGUGGCCCUGGUUUCAACCCCCGGUCUGGGAA
RNAcentral lists this transfer RNA (73 nucleotides) under Sus scrofa (pig). It matches the Rfam family "tRNA". Rfam says of the family: Transfer RNA (tRNA) molecules are approximately 80 nucleotides in length. Their secondary structure includes four short double-helical elements and three loops (D, anti-codon, and T loops). Lineage: Eukaryota; Metazoa; Chordata; Mammalia; Artiodactyla; Suidae. The record is from Rfam by way of RNAcentral.